Molecule: ribosomal RNA, 469 nt
Filed under: uncultured bacterium
Lineage: Bacteria
Description: partial 16S ribosomal RNA
Rfam family: Bacterial small subunit ribosomal RNA
Source: RNAcentral
GACGAACGCUGGCGGCGUGCUUAACACAUGCAAGUCGAACGGAAAGGCCCUGCUUGCAGGGUGCUCGAGUGGCGAACGGGUGAGUAACACGUGGGUGAUCUGCCCCUUACUUUGGGAUAAGCCUGGGAAACUGGGUCUAAUACUGGAUAGGACCAUGCUGUAGGUGGUGUGGUGGAAAGAUUAGUUUCGGUAAGGGAUGAGCUCGCGGCCUAUCAGCUUGUUGGUGGGGUAAUGGCCUACCAAGGCGUCGACGGGUAGCCGGCCUGAGAGGGUGGACGGCAACAUUGGGACUGAGAUACGGCCCAGACUCCUACGGGAGGCAGCAGUGGGGAAUAGUGCACAAUGGGAGCAAGCCUGAUGCAGCGACGCCGCGUGGGGGAUGACGGCCUUCGGGUUGUAAACUCCUUUCAGCCAUGACGAAGCCCUUGUGGUGACGGUAGUGGUAGAAGAAGCACCGGCUAACUACGUG